Molecule: ribosomal RNA, 508 nt
Filed under: uncultured bacterium
Lineage: Bacteria
Description: bacterial SSU rRNA
Rfam family: Bacterial small subunit ribosomal RNA
Source: RNAcentral
AGUUUGAUCCUGGCUCAAAUUGAACGCUGGCGGAAUGCUUUACCCUUGCAAGUCGAACGGCAGCACGGACUUCGGUCUGGUGGCGAGGGGCGAACGGGUGAGUAAUAUAUCGAAACGUGCCCAGUCGGGGGGGAUAACGUAGUGAAAAUUACCCUAAUACCGCAUACAAUCUACGGAUGAAAGCGGGGGAUCGCAAGACCUCGCGCGAUUGGAGCGGCCAAUAUCAAAUUAGGUAGUUGGUGAGGUAAAGGCUCACCAAGCCAACGAUCUGUAGCUGGUCUGAGAGGACAACCACCCACACUGGAACUGAAACACGGCCCAAACUCCUACGGGAGGCAGCAGUGGGAAAUUUUGGACAAUGGACGCAAGUCUGAUCCACCCUUUCCGCGGGCAGGACAAAGGCCUUCGGGUUGUAAACUGCUUUUGUACAAAACGAAAAGGUCUCUAUUAAUACUAGGGGCUCAUGACGGUACUGUAAAAAUAAGCACCGGCUAACUACUUGCCAGCA